AGGGAGCAUUCCCAAUCAUUCAACUUCUACACAAUUUCCCUUUCUUUGAUCCCUAUCUUUUUCUUUUUCUUUUCAAAUCCACACAACCAUGAUCAUUUUCUUUGCUUCUUUCUUCCUUUUUUUUUCUUUGCUCUAUGGUUUCAAGGGUGAUUUCUUUUUCUUGUUUCUUUUCAUACUUUUUCACCCUUUCAUAAAAACUCACUUUUCCAAUUUUCUAAUCACUUCUCAUUUUACUCUCCCC
Molecule: long non-coding RNA, 241 nt
Filed under: Lathyrus oleraceus (garden pea)
Lineage: Eukaryota; Viridiplantae; Streptophyta; Magnoliopsida; Fabales; Fabaceae
Description: Pisum sativum (pea) long non-coding RNA (PSAT_LNC022590)
Source: RNAcentral